UAGUGCUAAGGUAGCAUAAUAAUUUGUCUCCUAAAUGAAGACUAGAACAAAAGAUUUAACAUUUUAAUAUAAUCUUAAAUCUAUUAAUUAAAACUAUACUAAAUGUAAAAAUACAUCUAUAAAAUAGAUAGACGACAAGACCCUACUGAACUUAACUGAAGUUAUACUGGGGUAGUAAUAAAAUAAUAAUUUUUAUAAUUUAUAUAAAAUUAUAUCCAAAAAUGAUAAUCAAGUUACCAUAGGGAUAACAGUAUAAUAUAUAUUUAAAGACCUAAUAUAAAUAUAUGAUUAUAACCUCGAUGUUGAAUUAAUAACCUUUAUAAUGAAAAAAUUAUAUAAGAAAGUCUGUUCGACUUAUAAAUAAUUACAUGAUUUGAGUUCAGACCGGUAUAAGCCAGGUCGGUUUCAAUCUUCUAUAAAUUUAUAUACAGUACGAAAGGACCUAUUUAUAUAAUAUUAUUAUAUAUUUAGCAAAAU
This 477-nucleotide ribosomal RNA is filed under the name Eupoa nezha. Its description in RNAcentral is "partial 16S ribosomal RNA". The stretch from base 124 to 417 matches the Rfam family "Bacterial large subunit ribosomal RNA", at positions 2072 to 2648 of the family's 2925-position model. The record is from RNAcentral. Lineage: Eukaryota; Metazoa; Arthropoda; Arachnida; Araneae; Salticidae.